Molecule: ribosomal RNA, 466 nt
Filed under: uncultured ciliate
Lineage: Eukaryota; Ciliophora
Description: bacterial SSU rRNA
Rfam family: Eukaryotic small subunit ribosomal RNA
Source: RNAcentral
UACCACAUCUAAGGAAGGCAGCAGGCGCGUAAAUUACCCAAUCCUGAUUCAGGGAGGUAGUGACAAGAAAUAACAGACCGGAGCCUCUGUGUCCGGGAUUGCAGGGAGUACAAUUUAGACUCCUUAACAAGUAACAAUUGGAGGGCAAGUCUGGUGCCAGCAGCCGCGGUAAUUCCAGCUCCAAUAGCGUAUAUUAAAGUUGUUGCAGUUAAAAAGCUCGUAGUUGGAUUUCUGUGAGAGUGCCGGUGUCGGCUGAUGCUUGUACGCAGGCGCUCUUACAUCCUUCUGUUAACUGUUCUUGGCAUUUUAUUGCUGGUUCAGGGCUCAGAUAUUUUACCUUGAGAAAAUUAGAGUGUUUCAGGCAGGCUUAUGCCGGAAUACAUUAGCAUGGAAUAAUGGAAUAGGACCUGUGCGUCUCUCGGGGCGCCGGUCUCCGUUGUUGGUUUCGGGGACUAAUGUAAUGAUA